Molecule: long non-coding RNA, 456 nt
Filed under: Homo sapiens (human)
Lineage: Eukaryota; Metazoa; Chordata; Mammalia; Primates; Hominidae
Description: non-protein coding lnc-CD44-7:3
Source: RNAcentral
ACCUUCCGCCACGAUUCUCAGGCCUCCCCAGCCAUGUGGAACUGUAAGUCUAAUUAAGCCUCUUUUUCUUCCCAGUCUCUGGUAUGCUUUUAUCAGCAGCAUGAAAACGAAUUAAUGCACUUGGUAACAUGCCAAUUACUUGACCAAGGGAAGGUGAGGCACCUUGCUUUAAAAGUGAAUGCCAAAGAGAAUAGCAGCUCCUCAGUGAAAUAAUGAAGCUGUGUUAGCUGAUGGGAGAAAAGGUUGCUGAGGAGACCACAGGAACAGAUGUCUGCAGAAGUGUUUCUGUUUCUUGUCAUCAGCCUCAUUGCUGUAAUGGCUCCCCAAGGCUGCCAGAGUUUACAUUUAUUUAAAUAGAAUCAACAUGUUUCUGUUUCAUAGCAUCUUUGGUAAAAUUAUACUAUGUAAAAUGAGGAUUACAGUCUUCUCACCAAAAGUAAGAUCUCUGCCUUGUCU